CCAGGGUGUCCCCAGGGGUCACCAGGGUGUCCCCAGUGUCACCAGGGUGUCCCCAGUGUGCCCAGGGUGUCACCAGGGUGUCUACAGUGUCCCCAGGGUGUUCCCAGGGUGUCCCCAGUGUGUCCCCAGGGUGUCCCC
Long non-coding RNA from Poecile atricapillus (Black-capped chickadee), 138 nucleotides. RefSeq lists it as uncharacterized. Lineage: Eukaryota; Metazoa; Chordata; Aves; Passeriformes; Paridae. The transcript has 3 exons. The record is from RefSeq and is a predicted model, not a curated record.